Molecule: unclassified non-coding RNA, 310 nt
Filed under: plant metagenome
Description: partial contains 5.8S ribosomal RNA, internal transcribed spacer 2, and large subunit ribosomal RNA
Rfam family: 5.8S ribosomal RNA (bases 1-105)
Source: RNAcentral
GAAAUGCGAUAAGUAGUGUGAAUUGCAGAAUUCAGUGAAUCAUCGAAUCUUUGAACGCACAUUGCGCCCCUUGGUAUUCCAUGGGGCAUGCCUGUUCGAGCGUCAUCUGUACCCUCAAGUUCUGCUUGGUGUUGGGUGUUUGUCCCCGUCUCCGCGCGUGGACUCGCCCCAAAGUGAUUGGCAGCCGGCGUACUGGUCCCGGAGCGCAGCACAUGUCGCGCAAACGAGUGCCUUGGUACGGCGGCGUCCAUAAGCCCCUCUCUCACGCUCUUGACCUCGGAUCAGGUAGGGAUACCCGCUGAACUUAAGC